This 2036-nucleotide long non-coding RNA is filed under the name Gallus gallus (chicken). Its description in RNAcentral is "lncRNA (ENSGALG00010007417.1)". Lineage: Eukaryota; Metazoa; Chordata; Aves; Galliformes; Phasianidae. The record is from RNAcentral.
CUGGUGUUGCUAUUGAAGUCAUAGUUUUUUAAAAACCCAACUGAUUUUUUUUUAAUUAUUUAUUAUUAUUCAUAGGCUUAACUUUUGCAGAUCUGCCACUGAACUUCAGUUUUCCUGGGUCAAGAAUAGAGCCGCUGUUGUCUGAGUUCUCUCCCAUUUAGAGGACUGGAGCACAUCUUAUGAAGAAAGAGCUGGGCUUGUUCAUAUGGGAGAAGAGAGGGCUCUGGGGAGACCUCAUUGCAGCCUUCAGUACUUCAAGGGAGCUUGUAAAUGAGAGAGACACACACUUUUUACACAGAGGGGAGGUUUAGGUUAGAUGUUUGUUAGGAGAAGAUUCUUUACUCGUGAAGUGCAUGGUGAACAUGGAUUUGCAAGCAUUUUGAUGAUGCCAUUGCAGAGAACGAUUACUGUGGAGAUAUGUGGCAAAAAGCGUGCUGCUUAGAUAUGACCUGAAUCUGUUCCCUGCAUGAUUGUUCACAUGGAGUUUGCCUUUCAUAGUAAGGGGAUGACAGGAAGCUGUUUCAAGUAUAGAAGGGUGGGUUCGGGUGCAAAAAACUCAUUUGAGAGGAGAUGUUGUUUCAGUAUAGUUAGCUCCAGAUAGGUGGAGUAGCUUAAGUUGUAUAUUAUAUAGCAAACAAUAAAGGACACAUUAUAAGUGAGGGGUUUCUUCCUGAAGUAAAUUCUGAAAUGAUAUUCCAGUGCCUAUUUGAAAGAAUGUGGUAAGUUUUCCUCUUUUGAAAUAGCCCUGUCUUUUUGAGGUCCUGUGUAUGUCAUUGCGAAAGGUUUCAUAUGUGUUCGUACGCUGGGAGCAAGGGAAACAACGCUGAGAGAUGAGAGCAAAUAGCUGGAGGAGAAGCAAGUAAAAAUAGACACUUAACAGGAAGAGAAAUGUAUGUUUGGGAAGAGAUCAGUAAGGAUGAGAAUUGAUCAGGCCAUGGGGCCCAUUUUUUAACACGAUUUGUGCUGUCAGAUAUUUUUUGAUAACUUACAGUCUCUUCCCAUCUUUUCACUUUGUCUGUUUUUACACAUGGGGAAUUUAUCUUUUGUGAUUGGCACUGCUGUUCUAUUAGAUCUGAUUUUGGACAUUUUUAGGUAUGUUUUGGCUGAAGGCAAGCAGACCUGCUUUCAGGUGUGCCACAACUGAGCCUCCGUAUCGUGUCUGCCUGACUGCAUUCUGCAGCUGCUCUUGGUUCCUAAGAGGAAAGAGUGUAACAAAUGAGAUGCUGUCACUGAGGCUGUGCCACCUGCCAGGAUCACGGCCCUCCAUCAGCCCCCCAUGGCCACGCGCUCUUAGAAAGCAUGGCCACUAAUCCGUCAUUCACCACUCUGUGCAGAGCGGCAGACUCCCUCCCCAACCCACCCACACUUAUCUCAUCCUAUUGAGAGCGCUGCCUGAUCGGGCAGAAUCAAAAUGGCUCACGUGCAAUAUGAAGAGCAAGUGGGUUUGACCAGUGCUCACGCCAAACCUAAAUACGGAUUGAAGUGCACGCUGCCAGCACAAAGUGUGCAUUGUGUGGCUUUGCUGCGCGGUCCCCAGCCUCAGCUCCAGGGCUGUAAGAAUGCUGCACCCUCGCUUUGAGGGCACAACAAAGCAGCAGUGUCUGAAAUGGAAUGUGCUGCAGGUAGCGAGCUAAGCCUCCAUCACCAAAGGCAGUGGGAGGAUUAAUUAAGCUCAAGAAGGCUGUUGCUUGGAGGGACUUCACAGGAAUGCAGACCGAAGGCCCUCAAAGAGCCCACAACAAAGGGCAAAGCCAUGCGCACUGCAGCUCGUGCCAGGAUGAGCUCUGUGGGAUUAAGGGCUUGGUCUGCCUUGCAGAAAGGGCAGGAACAUCGCUGCCCUAGAGAGCAAUGUGAGCAGGAAACGGAUUUUCGGGUGGUUUUUCCUUGGUAGGGUGGAUUAAAAAAUUGCAGUCUUGCUAAUGACAUAAAUGCUACAUCUGAUACAAUCAAAUGUAUAUGAAAGUCGUAAGAUCACAUGUAAUUUGUUUUGAAUUGUGGUUUGUUUCCAAAUAAAAGACCAUAAGCACCUGUUCCAA